This 1074-nucleotide unclassified non-coding RNA is filed under the name Hevea brasiliensis (rubber tree). The record is from RNAcentral. Lineage: Eukaryota; Viridiplantae; Streptophyta; Magnoliopsida; Malpighiales; Euphorbiaceae.
GGGAAACAAAAAGAAUCGUAAUAAAUUUCGAUACAAAUAUUUGAUCUAAAGGAUGCUUAGAUUUAUCUUUAUACAAGAUAAAAUCUAAAGCAAAUGCAUGCAAGGAUUUUUUUGUAGCAGCUCCAUUUUUUAAGAAGAUAAUGGCCUUGGCUUCUUUGCACCAAUUUGGCAUGAUCUAUGGUGUUUAGCUGUAUCCUUCAUUUCUUAAUACCAAUUUAAUACAAAUAAAAAGAAAGAGAAAACCCAUGUAAGAUGGAAAAAUGAACCUCUCUAUAAAUAUAAUCCAAAUAAUAAUCAAAAUUAUACAUUAAGUCCAAUGUAUGUAAAUGUUCCCCAUCAUAAUCAUAGUGAUACAGAACAGCUCAUAUUAGUCCUUUAUUCCAAUCUGAAACUAAAACAAUGAAUCAAAUAAUUAACAAACUCUCGGCUCAAUCUGUCAAAAACCCAUAAUGUAUAAACAAUAAAUCUCAUCUCAGAUCUGGGGAAAAAAAAUGAGAUCUUUAGUGCUUCAAGAAAGCAAGCAUGGACAAGAAGAGAGCAGAGCAAAUCACAGCCCCAGACAUCCCCAGAGAAUAAGCUGCUCCUUUAUCCAUAGCUGGAGCAGGUGCUGGUGCCAAAUCUCCCAAAUCUUGCGCUGAAACAGAAGCAGCAGCAAAGACUGCCACCAAGAAAACAACAGCCAAGGACUUGAAUGCAGCAAAAGCCAUUAUAAAUCUUGAAAUGAAGAUCGAGAGAGCUGAACAAGAAUUAGAGAUGUUUGAUUCUUGAAAAGGAGAAGUGAAGAGAAAGGAAGAGGCCAGUAAGGUAUAUAUGGGGAAAGAAACCGUGUGGGGCUCCACAAAGAACGUGAACAGGUGGAUGGGAAAUCAAGAAACGCUGUUCAAGUCCAGCAAGAAAGCGGCCGUUGAUUAAAAAAUUCGAACGUUAAUGGGCAGCUGUGCGGUGUCAGUGUUUUCUUUUCUUAAACUAUUAGGUAGCCGUUAACCUACUAUUGGCUAUGGUUUCUGGACUUUUACUGGGUCUCAGUCUCUCAGAUCUUCGUUAAGGACGAGGAAGAAACGGUCGGUGAGUCUU